GUCACACUUUGGUAGUAAAGAUUUAUAACAGGCGGAAUAAUAUAUUCAAAAAAUAUUUGUAGUGAAAUGCCACUUAAUCUAUGACUGCUAGUAUAUAUCAUUAAAUAAACGACCAAGGUAAACAAGGAUUAGAGACCCUUCUAUAUAGUCGCUAACAAAAAUACGCGGGGUACUACAACUACAAGAGUUAAAACUCAAACAACAUGGCGGUAAUUUUAAACUCAGGGGAACUUACUUGAUAAUUGAUAACCACCAAGGUAAAUUAACUUAAGGUCAUUCUUGUAUGCCGUCGUCUUCAGGUAAGACCUCAAGUAUUAUCUUAAACGUACUAACGUAAAAGACAGAUCAAGGUGCAGACAAUCCUUAAGAUAAAGCGAGUUACAAUUUUUCUUACUAACCAUAAACAGAAACAACAUCUGCUAUAGGUAGGACUUGACAGUAACUUAUAUUAUAAAUACUACGUGAACACAUAAAAUUGUGCACAA
RNAcentral lists this ribosomal RNA (485 nucleotides) under Austrochloritis buxtoni. RNAcentral's name for it is "partial 12S ribosomal RNA". The record is from RNAcentral. Lineage: Eukaryota; Metazoa; Mollusca; Gastropoda; Stylommatophora; Camaenidae.